RNAcentral lists this transfer RNA (844 nucleotides) under uncultured Synechococcus sp. Its description in RNAcentral is "16S-23S ribosomal RNA intergenic spacer". The stretch from base 183 to 256 matches the Rfam family "tRNA". Lineage: Bacteria; Bacillati; Cyanobacteriota; Cyanophyceae; Synechococcales; Synechococcaceae. The record is from RNAcentral.
CAGGGAGACAAACAAGACAUUGAUGUUUGAUCCAAUUUGUGAUCAAGCCGAUGUCCUGUCAUCUCGAAGGUCGAUCGGUACCUCAGGUUGUGAGUCAGAGAGCAGGAAGAAAUUCUUGAAGUGUCUGAUGAACAUCAUCAGUUCCUAAACGUUGUCUAGGUCACCCCGAGAGGGAAGCUCCUGGGCCAUUAGCUCAGGUGGUUAGAGCGCACCCCUGAUAAGGGUGAGGUCCCUGGUUCAAGUCCAGGAUGGCCCAUUCGUGUUUGGGGGUUUAGCUCAGUUGGUAGAGCGCCUGCUUUGCAAGCAGGAUGUCAGCGGUUCGAGUCCGCUAACAUCCAUAUCAACGUAGCCCCCUCAAGCAGAAACCGGAUCCGAGAAGGAGCAAGGAAUCUGUCGGCGUGAUCAAAACAAACAGGUGAGAGCUGAGGAGUUCAGCCUCCAGCCAUUCCCGAGAAGGGUUGGAUGGAUGCUGAAUUCAGCGUUGAGGGAGGCCAGGGCGUGAGUCCAGGCUGAACAACGCGGGAAUUCAGCAUAAGAACCUUGACAACUGCAUAGGUGAGUCUGGAAAGAAAGCAUCUCAUGGAUGUUCAUUUCUAGCAGACAAGCAAAGCGAGCAAUCGUGUUUCUUGUUUGGCUGAAAUGAAUGCUCUAUGAAGCGAUUCUAUUUGAAAGUAGAGCCGAGACCACAGACCGUCUUGCCCCUGACCGUUUGAACGGUUGAGGAGGUGAGUCAGACGGUGUUUUGAGUUUGCUGCCGAGAACGCUUGAGCGAUCAAGUUAAAGGGUAUUGAGAUCAAAGCACUGGAAUGAGUUUCAACAACUUAAACGGUUUGCUGGUUAAUAU